This 199-nucleotide unclassified non-coding RNA is filed under the name rhizosphere metagenome. RNAcentral describes it as "partial ribosomal RNA internal transcribed spacer region". The record is from RNAcentral.
GUAGGUGAACCUGCGGAAGGAUCAUUACCGAGCGAGGGUCUCAUGGCCCAACCUCCAACCCUUGACUACCCACCCGUUGCCUCGGUGGCCCCGGCCGCCGGAGGAUCACCCUGGGCUUGCCCCGGGGUUCAACCCGUCGUCUUGCAGUCUGAGAACUACACAAUAAUCAAAACUUUCAACAACGGAUCUCUUGGUUCUG